Molecule: long non-coding RNA, 884 nt
Filed under: Brachypodium distachyon (stiff brome)
Lineage: Eukaryota; Viridiplantae; Streptophyta; Magnoliopsida; Poales; Poaceae
Description: long non-coding RNA (BDIS_LNC004011)
Source: RNAcentral
ACAUUAUCAUUAACUCUUACUGAUCUUUGUUGAAAUAGGUGAUUUUUGAGCAUCUGGUUCCAUCUUCGUUUAGAAACUUUUGAAUUGAUCAUGCAGUUUCAGAAGUGGAGAUUAAUUGACCAUGUCUGACAUAUGUGGAGAUUUAAGCCAAGAGGCAUGGGGUCAUCACCUACAAGAGUGAUUUGCAUAGCUGCUCGAAGGCGAAUUAUUCCAACUAUUUUCUAUUACUUCUGGAUUUGAGCUUUAUAGUCGUGUUUCAAGUGUCAGGAAGGUAAAAUACAUAUCCUAAUUGUGUAUAGAUUUAUAAUUCGUAUUACUAGGCUUUGAACCAAAAACUGAAAGUUCCUGGCAAAAUUUAUUUACAAUAAAUACGUCAACACCUAAGUGUGUCAUCUUUUAGUUAUAUAUAUAUAUUCCUAACUCACGAGGUGUCUCGACUGUUAUUAACUUAUUAUAUGCAGGGUGAUUAGUCAAGAAAGCAAAAUUUGCCCAUUGGUGAGUCCCCUUUUUAUGGUUUGAGCAGAAAGGAAUCACUGGAAGCUCAUCAGCAAGAGCAAAAUCUGGCCUAUCAGGUAUGACAUCUGGACUAAGGUGUCAAUCUGAGAAUGUUUUCCCAACCUUUUCCCAACCUAAGAUUUUUGUUAUUUGGUAAGAAAGUUCUAGCUCUGAGAGAAGCCAGAGCUUUGCUAAUGACUCAGAAAGGGAAGAAAUCUCUAAAUACUUGUACUAAAAUCAUGACAAGUAUUUAGGAACGGAGGGAGUACAGAUUAUUUUGCACUAAAACCAUGACAAGUAUUUAGGAACGGAGGGAGUAAUACACAAGAAUGGCUAUAUGAAGGUCAUGAUGAGAGUGAGACUAAAUAGUUUAGAGUGGUAAACAUGAA